This 6652-nucleotide long non-coding RNA is filed under the name Sus scrofa (pig). Its description in RNAcentral is "lncRNA (ENSSSCG00000052737.1)". The record is from RNAcentral. Lineage: Eukaryota; Metazoa; Chordata; Mammalia; Artiodactyla; Suidae.
UUGUCUGGAGAUAUGCCCAAGAGUGGGAUUGCUGCCUCAUAUGGUAGUUCUAUGUAUAGUUUUCUAAGUUACCUCCAUACUGUUCUCCAUAGUGGUUGUACCAGCUUACAUUCCCACCAACGCGCAGGAGGGUUCCCUUUUCUCCACACCUCCUCUAGCAUUUUUUGUUGGUGGACUUAUUAAUUAUGGCCAUUCUGACUGGUGUGAGGUGGUAUCUCAUGGUAGUUUUGAUUUUCAUUUCUCUAAUAAUCAAUAGAUUCAGACUACUGGCUUUGGAAUGGACUAGCAAUGAGAUCCUGCUGUGUAGCAGUGGGAACUAUGUCUAGUCACUUAUGAUGGAGCAUGAUAAUGUGAGAAAAAAGAAUGUAUACAUGUAUGUGUAACUGGGUCACCAUGCUAUACAGUAGAAAAAAAUAAUGUAUUGCAGAAUAAAAGAAGCUGAUAGUCAAUAAUAAAUAUGUAUUAUUUCUAUACAAUAAUCAUAUUCAGAAGAAAUUAGUUAUUAUAGUUAUAAAGGAAACAUUAAUUCUAAAUCAUUGAUUAAGAACACAUUGCUGACCUUUUUGCACAGUUUCAUGAACUAUCAGCAUUACCUUGUUACUUUUAUUGCUUGAAAGCUUACAUGUGCACACACACAUGUACGUGCGUGCACACACACACACACACAGCUUCUGUUCUGAGGUACCAUGGGAGUAACUUAUUGUAGGUUCCCAGGCCAGGGACUGAACACACGCCACAGCUGUAACUAGAGCCACAGCAGUGACACAGCCAGAUCCUUAACCCAUUGAGCCAUGAGGGAACUCCAAGAGUCACUGAUCUUAUUGCUUCCCUUUGCAGAUGGGACAGUUCAGAGGGGAGAAACAUGUUGUCCAGGGUCCUGAUGUUGUCAGGGACAGAACUAGAGGUGAUCUUUUGACUGCUGUCCAUGUCUUUUCCAUGUGAUUAUGUUGCCUCAUCCAGGAUUUUUGGUCAGGGUCAAUUUGUUGUCCCCUUUGCUAUGAAAUCUCUAAAAUAUUAUUAGGAUGCAUCCCCAUGCCAACUAGCAGCUGCUUUCUGGAAGCAGCAUGUGAAUGCAACACUGGAUCCUAUGGAGGAAAAUGUUUCACUGUGGUUGGAAGUCUUUUCUACACUCUUUCCACCCACCUAUAUUUACAUCUCCAGCAUUCUUAACUGAAUUACAGGCAAAUGCUUCAUUACAGAGGCUCAGCUAGGAGGAUAUGCCCUGGGGAGUUUAUUCACAGACAAAUGUAUUAUUCACAAGCUUGAUCUGAUCAUACAGAAUUUUCGCUAUAACCACACGCCCUGAGGAAAUUCCUUUCAUAAACCUAAAUGAUUAGACUUAAAAGAAUGGUGUGGAAGAACAGAGGAAGUGUAGCUAUGCACUGGAAGGGGUGGAAGGAGGUGGAGCUCUUGGCGGUCUGCAUUUAGGAAGCCCACAGAGGAGCUGGUUCUAAGCCUCCUCCCAGUCAUUUCCUCUUCUAAGACACUAUUUUCUUCUCUUUGUAGAGCCUUCUUUUGACAGUUUUGAAGGGAGGAGGGAAUGUUGAAUUAAGUAGAGUUGGUGAAUUAUUUUAAUGAUGGUUUCUAUGACAACGAGACAAAUACUUUCCACAUACUUUGUGUUUCAAGCAAGGAGACAUUAGGCAAAUACUUUUACUGAAUAGUGAAUGUGGUAAAAACAAAGCAAAACAAAACAAACUCUAUAGGCAUUUAGUUACUAUCAGGUACCACAGAUUUGUGCAGUAUGAUUCUACCCGCUGGUAAAAGUUGUUCUACUUAGAUUUAAGGUCAAUAUCUUAGUAGCAUGAAAGUCCCUAGCAUUCCUUGACCCAGCAAUUUUAACCUUAAAUUGUACCUUUAAUUGGAUCUCCCUAGUUUCCUCCUGAGAUAGGUUAUAACUUUGCCCAUAAUAUCCUAGAAGAAUGCUUGUUUUCUUUUAAUUCUUACAUAUGCAGGUUUCCCUGAGGUCAUUCUGGAAGUCUUGCCCUGGCUCUAACUGACCAGCUUUAACUGACAGACCAGCUACAUAAAUGGCACAUUUUUGUGUUGAGUAUUGGUCAGCAGAACUCAGUGCAAUUGAUACUCCUACUUCCAAUUCCAGCUCUGCAGAGAAAAACCCAUCUAUUAUUAAAAAUCCUAUUAGUACUGGGAAGAUGGCACUGUUCUCUCUCAUUGUAGCUGCUGAGUGUUAUCUAAUUGGUUUUUAUUACUUCGAAACCUUGGGAGUGUAGAGCUCAAAUGCACAUUUGCUAACAGUUGUGUUCUUUCCUGUUGUACUCAUUGGAAAUGCUUUUAGAUCAUUUAGAUUUUGUCAGCAAGAAAGAGGGAGAACACUAGAGAGCAUUUUGGAGAGUACCUGAAAAAAAACUACAGACCCCAGGAUAAGGUUUACUGUGGCUACUAUCAGACUCAAUACAUGAAUGCAUAUCACAUAUGUGGCUUUUUCCAUUAUUAUCUGUACUGCCGAGAGUAUGUUUGUUUCCAGCUUUACAGCAGUAUUAAUUUUUCAUGUGAAUGCUCUUGCUCAUUUGUGAUAAUUUGGUCUUAUUUUAUUUUUAAUUGGUAACAAACUCAUUUUUCUAUUACUAUCAGUUCUUUUAAAUGAUAGAGAAUUCAUUGAUGUUGUUAUAUGCUCAUACUUGCCAUGUCCAGGAUGUCUUCUUCAGACUUAUAUGUGAUAUUAGAAAAGAUGGAUCCUUUGCCCACCGCAGUGAUUACUGUCCCCUUCACAUUUUUUUUUCCCCUUGAGAGGUACUGUGGUUCAUGCUUGAAAUACUAACAAUUAUUAUUAAUAGUAGCUAAUAGUAGCCACAGCAGUAGCAUCAGUAUUUUCUCUGAUGAUAUUUUUUCUUCAUUUUUUCAAAGCACUUUGCUGCUUUUCUUUAAAUACUUUGAGCCAGUGUAAACCUUCCCAACCACCCUUGUUUUUAUGAAUCCCAUCCUAGGCAUCAAGGCUUUGAUUUGUGAGUGUUCUCCUUAUGUGUCAUUUAGUGUACUGUCUCCUUCCUUUAUGGCUCCAAGAAACGGGUUCCAUUUUAUCUCCACACUGAAAUGGAGUUCUUUAAAAUGGCACUCAGCACUUGCAUUCAGGUCGCAUUUUUUUAUUUUUUCUUGGUCUCUACCUUGCCUUUAACAAUGUGCUUCUCAUUGUGUGAUCAUAACAGCAGAAUUUUUUGAACACUUCCUCGGUACCAAGUACUGUUCUAAUCACUUUAAUCAUACAGUCAAGUCACCAUUCUCACAAUAUCCUAUACUGUGAAGAGUACUGUGCUUCCGGUUUACAGACAAGGACAUUGAGACAGAUGAGAUGAAGUCACUUGUCCUAAUUGCCCACUUCCCGGGGAGCUCAGGCUCCACCCUGAUGGUCUCCUAAGUCCGCAUACUCUGCAUUUGGCCAUGCUGCGGUGCCACCUCUUGGAAUGCCCCCUGGCUUGUCAUCUGUGCUGUCCUUGCCUCUCACACCUCUCAGACCAAAUUCCAUUGAGCACCUACUGAUUGAGUGCCCAGCAGGGGCCAACCAGCUCCUGUUCUCCUUCAGUCUCCUCUUGUCCCCUUACCCAUUAAUGGAAUUCAGAGGGAUAGAUAAAGGCCAAAAUUAUGCUCUGGCUUUUCAGGUCUGGGAGCUCUUUUCCAGAUGGGAAGAAGGGCCGUCCAACUGAGAAGCAGCACCGACAGCCUUUCCCACCUCCUGAUUAUUAAUGAUUCACUGGGAUCCUCUCAAUGCCCCCAUCUCAUCAUCAUAAAUUUAUGCAAUUGCUCCCUUUUCUUUGACCUCUAAGUCUAAUCAGUUACUAAAUGUUACUGAUCUCCCCCUUUACAGUCCAUUUCCACAGCCAUAACUCUACCCUAGGCUCUAAUCACUUUGUUUCUGAAUUACAGUAAUGGGUCUAGGUGGCCUUUGCUCCCCCAGGUUCUGUCCAUUACAAACCAGUUGCCCACAAUCAUUUGCACUGUCCCCCAGAGCACUUCCAGUCAUCGUUUGUGACCUGGAUCAAAUGCUAAUGCCUCCCCAAAGCCUUCAGAGAUCACUCUGUGGUUGAUUACCGCUCACCCCUACAUCUUUGGUACCAUCAAAUAAUAUGUACAUGUUUUUCACUGCACUGCACCUGAAUCCCUAUGGUCUGGACUAUCUGUUACUUACUUUUGCAUACAUAAUAUCUGACAUUGUGUCUGGUACACAAUUUUGUGUAGUUAAUAUAAGAAUGAAUGUACAGUUGAGUGCAGAAAUGAAAAAAUCCACCAAUAAAUAAAUAUAAGAAAAAUGAUGACUCUGCAGGGACUUUUAGUUGCCUUACUUACCAAAUCCAAAUGCCUAAGCACAGUCACAGAGACCCAGUGCCUUGUCCUUCUUUUGACUAAGUUUAUCUCUAAUGCUACUGAUUUGGCCCUGGUUUGCUUAAGCAAUGGUGUUUACUGUUUUCUUCAAAUAACAUUUUUUUCUCCUUGGACUAAUAGUUCAAGGCUUUCCUCUACAAAGUCUGCCCCGAUUAUCUCCACUCCUACCACUUACCUUUUUUUUUUUCAUGUAAAUAAUAAUCACAAUAGAUGGAUGAGGAGCUAUUACUUUCAUGAUGGCUUAUUGAGGUGGAACCAUCCACCAGAGUGUUGAUGUGAUGUCAUCUAACAUAUUUACCAUCAGCUUCCAAUGAAGUGGAUUGCCCUCUCAAUUCUAAAUGUGACCUUUUCUAUAUAUUAUUCACUAUGAGCCCUAGUUUACUCAUUUGAUAGAUGGAGGCAAUGGCUUCUAGCUACCUCACAGAUUUGUUGUUAUCCAACAACUACCAAUUCUCUGAUUCUCCAGACACUAAUAUAGUGUCUAAAAAUUCAAUUUCAUGGCAAAGGAGAGUUAGAAAGGGCUUUCAGUUAUUAGGUCCCUUAAGAACUGUGUGGAUUGCCAGAAAUCCUCCAGGAUUUGCCUUUGUGGAAUUUGAAGAUCCUAGAGAUGCAGAAGAUGCAGUGUGAAGCCUGGAUGGCAAAGUGACUUGUGGUUCUCGAGUGAGAGUUGAACUAUCAACAGGCAUGCCUCGGAGAUCUCAUUUUGAUAGACCACCUGCCCGAUGUCCCUUUGAUCCCAGUGAUAGAUGCUAUGAGUGUGGAGAAAAGGGACAUUAUGCUUAUGGUUGUCAUCACUAUAGCCAGUGAAGAAGCAGCAGGUCACAGUCUAGAUCAUAUUCGAGAUCCAGCGGUAGGCGAUACGCUCGCUCAUGCAGCAGGAGCAGGAGAAGGAGGUCAAGAUCAGCCUCUCCUCGGCGAUCAAGAUCUGUGUCUCUUCGUAGAUCAAGAUCAGCUUCACUCAGAUGAUCUAGGUCUGGUUCUAUAAAAGGAUCGAGGUAUUUCCAAUCCCAGUCCAGGUUGAGAUCAAGAUCCAGGUCUCUUUCACAACCAAGAAGCAGCCAAUCAAAGACCAGAUCUCCAUCUCCAAAAAGAAGCCAUUCCCCAUCAGAAAGUCCAAGAAGUGCAAGUCCUGAAAGAGUAGAAUAAAGGUUUUAAGUUCACCUUUUUGGGAAAAGUUAUUUUGUUUACAUAAUUGUAAGGGAUUUGUGGUGUCUGUAAUGUGUAAUCUAGGGAAGGGUAUUUCAACCGUCUAAUCAAAAUGGAUCUGGACUAUUACUCUGUAAAUUCACAGCAGUAAGUAAUAUAAAUUUUUGUUGAAUGUAUUAACAUCCUAUGGUCCGAAAAUGUGGGGUUUUAUUUGGCACAUUUAAAUAAAAUGUUUCUAACUAGAAAAAAUAAAAAAAUAAAAUUUCAAUUCCAUUCAAGCACUGUUUACCUGGAAUUGAAUCUCACAAGUUAAAGGGUCUAGUAUCACAAGACUGAUCCUCCCCCAACUUCAGACACCAGUCACAAGUCCUGGGCCUCUCUUACUUCUGACUGACAGACCAUAAUCCGGAGCUCCCAUGACCACCUCCUAGGGUUUAAUACUUUGCUAAACCAACUCACAGAACUCAGGAAAGCAUUUUACUUAGGCUUACCUGUUCAUUAUAAAGUAUACAAGGAACAGUCAGGUGCAGAAGUACAUGGGGUGAUCCAGAAGUGACCCAAGUGGAAGAGCUUCUGUCUCCAUGGAACUGGGGUUCAGUGGCCUCCUGACACAUGGAUGAGUUUGCCAUGUCCAUUCAAAAGCCAUUAGGUCUCCUUGUGCAAGAGACUUAACUCACACCCCUCCCCUUCCUAGAGGUCAGUGGGUGGGUUUCUGAGUUCCAUUCCUCUAAUCAUUUGAUUUUUGGGGAGCUAUCCAGAGGUCCUACCCUAAGUCACCUAAUGAGAAUAAACUAAAGUGUAAUCAAAAGGGGAUCAUUAUGAGUAACAAAAGAUAAUGCUUCUAUCACACAGGAAACCCCCAAGGGUUUUAGGAGCUCUGUACCACAAAUGACCACCAGGGACAAAGACAAAUAUUUUUUAUAUUACCACAUGAUGAUUAAAUGAAACUCUCUCUCUGGAUUUCCUAUAGUGGCUCAGCAGAGACAAAUCUGACUAGCAUCCAUUAGAACAGGUUCAAUCCCUGGCUUUGCUCAGUGGGUUAAGGAUCCAGCAUUGCCAUGAGCUGUGGUGUAGGUUGCAGAUGUGGCUCAGAUCUGGCAUUGCUGUGAUUGUGGAGUAGGUGGUGGUUACAGCUCCGAUUAGACCCCUAGCCUGGGAACCUCCAUAUGCA